GACCAAAUGGGGACGGGGAUAGA
This 23-nucleotide non-coding RNA is filed under the name Cricetulus griseus (Chinese hamster). The record is from RNAcentral. Lineage: Eukaryota; Metazoa; Chordata; Mammalia; Rodentia; Cricetidae.